Non-coding RNA from Paramuricea clavata, 554 nucleotides. The record is from the annotation of a GenBank genome assembly. Lineage: Eukaryota; Metazoa; Cnidaria; Anthozoa; Malacalcyonacea; Plexauridae.
CGCUUUCUCUAUCCCCAGGCCUUUUGAGAGCAGCGUAGGUUGACUGUUCAUUGUCUACUGGUUCAUAAAUGUUGGCAUCAUCUCUGUUACGAUUACCAUGAAUAUCUUGUAAAUUAUUUCCCCCAUUCGUCCUCUCCACGUUUGUCCUAGUGGACACGCUUGAUGAUUUGAGUCGACGAAUUUGAUAAAUCAAAUAAGCAAUAAUAACAAAUGAAAUGACCAGCAAUAUUGCUAAUACCACAAUUCCAGCUAGACCUUUUUCAGAACAAUCAUCACUUUUGGCGGUACCUGAAAAUUGGCGGUUACGAAAAACAAGUGUAUUCUUAAUUAAGCAGAAUACGAGUGAUUCCUUGCUAAUCUGCGAGCAUGGCCCUAGGGCCUUUUUUAUUAACGAUGCUAUAGAAAUACAAGCGUGCAGCAACCCAUCAUCUAUUCCGGCCUAUGUUUCCAACACUGAUUUAACAUGAAAUAUUAGUAAUUGGCCAACACUGAACGCAGGCUUGCGUUGUGUGCUGCCAUAGAAACACGAUCAUUUUUAUUUUUUUUAAUUUCCA